This 75-nucleotide unclassified non-coding RNA is filed under the name uncultured bacterium. The record is from RNAcentral.
CGGAUUGAAACUAUCAAAGGAUAGAGCACGUCGACGUGCCGGACAUAUGGUAUCGCCCGGCUACAAAGCCGGGCG